GCUAGUAAUCGUAGGUCAGCAUACUACGGUGAAUACGUUCCCGGGCCUUGUACACACCGCCCGUCAAACCAUGAGAGUUGGCAACACCCGAAGUCGGUAGUCUAACCGCAAGGAGGACGCCGCCGAAGGUGGGGUUNAUGAUUAGGGUUAAGUCGUAACAAGGUACC
Molecule: ribosomal RNA, 167 nt
Filed under: uncultured bacterium
Lineage: Bacteria
Description: partial 16S ribosomal RNA
Rfam family: Bacterial small subunit ribosomal RNA
Source: RNAcentral